Dioscorea cayenensis subsp. rotundata (Guinea yam) is the source of this 115-nucleotide small nucleolar RNA. RefSeq annotates it as small nucleolar RNA snoR100. The record is from RefSeq and is a predicted model, not a curated record. NCBI's taxonomy places the organism in Eukaryota, Viridiplantae, Streptophyta, Magnoliopsida, Dioscoreales, Dioscoreaceae. The transcript has a single exon.
GGGUGAAAAGAGCAUGGUAUGGUGCACGUAGAUAGAAAUGUAGAAGGGUUCUCAUGUCUGCUCGCUUUGAUGCCUUUGGGCUUUGAUCUUGCGGGCCUGGAUUGCACCCAUAUCU